This 496-nucleotide ribosomal RNA is filed under the name uncultured bacterium. Its description in RNAcentral is "partial 16S ribosomal RNA". It matches the Rfam family "Bacterial small subunit ribosomal RNA", at positions 28 to 507 of the family's 1533-position model. The record is from RNAcentral.
GACGAACGCUGGCGGCGUGCCUAAUACAUGCAAGUAGAACGCUGAAGAGAGGAGCUUGCUCUUCUUGGAUGAGUUGCGAACGGGUGAGUAACGCGUAGGUAACCUGCCUUGUAGCGGGGGAUAACUAUUGGAGACGAUAGCUAAUACCGCAUAACAAUGGAUGACACAUGUCAUUUAUUUGAAAGGGGCAAUUGCUCCACUACAAGAUGGACCUGCGUUGUAUUAGCUAGUAGGUGAGGUAAUGGCUCACCUAGGCGACGAUACAUAGCCGACCUGAGAGGUGGAUGGCCCACCUGGGACUGGGACCCGGCCCAGGAUCCCUCCGGAAGGCACCGGAAGGGAACUUCGGGCAAUGGGGGAAACCCUGCCGGAGAACGGCGGGGGAGGGAAGGAGGUUUUCGGGUCCGAAAGCUCUGUUUUUAGGUAAGAAACGGUUUGGGGGUGGGAAGUUCACACUGGGACGGUAACUGAACAAGAAGGGACGGCUAACUACGUG